GAGGCAGCAGUGGGGAAUUUUGGACAAUGGGCGAAAGCCUGAUCCAGCAAUGCCGCGUGUGUGAAGAAGGCCUUCGGGUUGUAAAGCACUUUUGUCCGGAAAGAAAUGGCUCUGGUUAAUACCUGGGGUCGAUGACGGUACCGGAAGAAUAAGGACCGGCUAACUACGUGCCAGCAGCCGCGGUAAUACGUAGGGUCCAAGCGUUAAUCGGAAUUACUGGGCGUAAAGCGUGCGCAGGCGGUUGUGCAAGACCGAUGUGAAAUCCCCGAGCUUAACUUGGGAAUUGCAUUGGUGACUGCACGGCUAGAGUGUGUCAGAGGGGGGUAGAAUUCCACGUGUAGCAGUGAAAUGCGUAGAGAUGUGGAGGAAUACCGAUGGCGAAGGCAGCCCCCUGGGAUAACACUGACGCUCAUGCACGAAAGCGUGGGGAGCAAACAGGAUUAGAUACCCUGGUAGUCCACGCCCUAAACGAUGUCAACUAGUUGUUGGGGAUUCAUUUCCUUAGUAACGUAGCUAACGCGUGAAGUUGACCGCCUGGGGA
Molecule: ribosomal RNA, 541 nt
Filed under: uncultured bacterium
Lineage: Bacteria
Description: bacterial SSU rRNA
Rfam family: Bacterial small subunit ribosomal RNA
Source: RNAcentral